AGGACUUUAGCUUAGUGUAAAGUUUUUGGGUUGCAUCCAGAAGAUGUGGAGUGAUGUCCGCAAGUCCUA
This 69-nucleotide transfer RNA is filed under the name Minervarya manoharani. RNAcentral's name for it is "tRNA-Ala". It matches the Rfam family "tRNA". From Rfam's summary of the family: Transfer RNA (tRNA) molecules are approximately 80 nucleotides in length. Their secondary structure includes four short double-helical elements and three loops (D, anti-codon, and T loops). Further hydrogen bonds mediate the characteristic L-shaped molecular structure. tRNAs have two regions of fundamental functional importance: the anti-codon, which is responsible for specific mRNA codon recognition, and the 3' end, to which the tRNAs corresponding amino acid is attached (by aminoacyl-tRNA synthetases). tRNAs cope with the degeneracy of the genetic code in two manners: having more than one tRNA (with a specific anti-codon) for a particular amino acid; and 'wobble' base-pairing, i.e. permitting non-standard base-pairing at the 3rd anti-codon position. The record is from RNAcentral. Lineage: Eukaryota; Metazoa; Chordata; Amphibia; Anura; Dicroglossidae.